ACACUUCAUCGUCCAUCACAGCUCAACCUGCACAUUCAUAAACAUAUGCAGGGCUAAGUACAAGAGUACUUAGUGGGCAGUUGCCAAAACUAAAAUAUAAGCUUAACAUUGUAUUUACAAACCACCGCAUAAUAAGAGACAUGAGCCUUCUUUCAAAUCCUUUGCCUACUAAAUAUUUCCAAAUCCAUAAAAUAGUGUGAGUGCAUUCUUCAUCAUCAAAAGUCUUAAUAAGCAUCGUGUCGUGAGGAAGACCUUCCUCAACAAACACAGGCAUCGCGCCGUGAGGGAGGCCUCCCUCAGCGGACACGGCAUCGUACUGUUGAGGGAGGCCUCCCUCAACAGACGUUUGACCGGCCAACCCUCUCAUUGACUCACGGUCGCGUUGUAUGUUUAAAUCCUGGCAAGAUAGCUAUCCGCUCAGGAUUCGAACUCGUUAACAUCAUCACGUAGGCAUUAAUAAGUGUAAAGCAUUCAAGCGCAACAAAGCAUAUAUAAAUUAUACAGGCGUAACAAAGCGUAAAGACUAAAGCGUAGAACAUUUAGGCGUAAAUAAUAUAGCGUAAAUUACUUAGGUGUAACCAGCGUAAAUAACAUAGCGUAAAACAUUUAAACGAAACAAAGCAUAACUCGAUUAAGCAUAAUAAAGCGUAACUCAAUUUAAGUGUAAUAAACCAUAACUCAUUUAAGCAUAAUAGGGCAUAACUCAAUUAAGCGUAAUAAAGUAUAAUUUUUUUUUUUAAAGCAUAAAGUCUUUAAUAGUUCUAGAAUAGCAUUUUAUUUUAUGCAUAAGAAAUGCCCACCUGAUAGCAAAGAUUUGCUAAGGUGUUGUAACUCCUUGAAUAGCUCCUGCUCUCGCGCUUGACCUUUAUUACGACGAUAUAAAAUAAAGGCAUUGGCCCGAGGAAAAUUCUCAAUUAAUUGAGAAUGUGUAAAUUAACUAUGCAUGACUCAUAUUUCGCUAUUAACAAUCCAAACUAUAGGAUUAAAGCUCGUCUUAUGAGACUGGAGUAUUAAUCUUAAUUAAUCCACUCAUCUUUAGGUAUGCUAACCCACUUACUAAUUAAUAAUCCUCAUUCUAAAUUAAUCCAUAAUUAGAACUAACUAAAUCCAAUUAAUAGAUUAAUCUAGACUAGUCUUUAAUCGGGCUAAAUAAAUAGUAAGACAGCCUAAUGAUUAAUUGGGAGCAACAUAAGGCAACCCAAUAAAAGAAAUUGGAUCCAAUCAAACAACCAUCGCAGUUCAUUCUACUUAAAAUAUGCCGUCAACUUCACUGAGCCACCAUCGGUACCUCCCUCUCCCUUCAAUUCGUGUCUCUCUAACUCUCUGAUUUCCCUCUGUUCCUUUCUCGCUUCUAAAUUUUCACCUCAAAUUUCAGUAAGCAAAACUGAGCCCUAGCCCCAUUUCUGGAAUCGCCGCUGUCGCGGCCCUUCUCCGGCGCGAUGGAUCGCCGUUGGACAUGUGAAUCGGCGAGAGUCGCCGUCAGCAUCGGGUCUCCCGACCUUAGGUGUCUUGCUGCCUUCGCCCUUGAGUUCCAGCUAGCGGAUGCUUCCGUCGAUGCACUCUGCCCAUCGGAACAGAACUCGUUCUGCUUGGUGUCGCCCUUAGGCGCAGCCAUGGCGCUCUGCCCCAAACCCCCAGAUUGAACGGCAACAGGCCACCAAGGAUAAAACUCAACAGGUUACUAGCAUUUUCUAAGUUCAUUCUAUCUUAUGAAAUCUUGGUUUUCCAUACUCCGAUUAUGCUUAUGCUGGAGAUUACACUAGGCAUGAUUUUGCUAUCUGUCGUAAGAAAUUCUCAUUGUAUUUGCCUUGUGUGAAAGUCAUGGGUUGUUGAUUCUAUAUGGAUAAAAGAUUAUACCAUUCGUCUCCUACUAUGCUUUUCAAAUAAACUGAUCAUAUGCUUCAUGGGAAAUGAGGCGUGUAACAAAGAAGAAAGCAUACUGAUGUAAAAAUACCUUGAAUGUUUGUUCUUUUGGCUGUCUGUGCUGCUAUGUUCAAUAAGAAAGAGCUUAAAUGAAUUGCAUAUUUUGUUUAGCAAUUGCAGACUGAACUCAAGAAGAAAUGGUGAAAGAGUUGGCCAUUCUUACCUUUCUGAGUCUGCCAGAAGCUGAAUCAAAAUUCUUUCCCUUUGAGAGUUGGUACACGAAGGAAGAUAUGAAGGAGAAUUUGUUGACUGAAAUUAUAGAAGAAAGGGUUGUUGGCUAAUAGUAUAAAGAGUGGAGUUGGUGCUGAUACUUGAGUGUUUGACAAGAUGAAGCAUGCGUAGGUUAUAGAUGAAUGACCCUUAGCAGCAUGGCUUUGAGUUGAAAAGGGGCUGCAGAGUUGAAGAAAAUGAGUUGAUGUUUGUACUUGCAUACUUUCUAUUGCUGAUUUUGGGCUUUGCGUGUAUGUAGCCGACAGAGUAGGACUUGAUAUUAAGUGUAGGAAAGUUGUGAGGUGACAAUUAAAAUCCCUCCGUCUUGUAUCAUUUGCGCGUUUGUGAUACUAAUUCCGAGU
This 2495-nucleotide long non-coding RNA is filed under the name Salvia miltiorrhiza (redroot sage). Its description in RNAcentral is "long non-coding RNA (SMIL_LNC002611)". Lineage: Eukaryota; Viridiplantae; Streptophyta; Magnoliopsida; Lamiales; Lamiaceae. The record is from RNAcentral.